RNA transcript from Colius striatus (speckled mousebird), 5766 nucleotides. It is a transcript of the gene named methylmalonyl-CoA mutase, with no coding region annotated. The transcript has 15 exons. Lineage: Eukaryota; Metazoa; Chordata; Aves; Coliiformes; Coliidae. The record is from RefSeq and is a predicted model, not a curated record.
GGCGCAUGCGCCAUGCCGCCUCGCCGCGUGCGCAGUGCCGCGGUGCUGUAGGUGUCGGCGGACGAGCCGAAUAGAGCUUACCCCCAACGCAUCAGCCAGUGGGAUAGACAUGCUGAGAGCCAAGGAUGCUGCCCUGCGCCUGCAGCCUCAGCACUGCCAAUGCCUGGCACGACUUCCAGGCUGGCAGCUUGCCUGGCGGUCGCUGCACAGGCAGCCACUGCACCCUGAGUGGGCUGCCCUUGCUGAAAAGCAGCUGAAAGGCAAGAAUCCAAAGGAUUUAAUUUGGCACACCCCAGAGGGGAUCGACAUCAAGCCUUUAUACUCCAAAAGGGACACAAAAGACCUCCCUGAGGAGCUGCCAGGUGUGAAACCUUUCACUCGAGGACCAUACCCAACCAUGUAUACAUACAGACCAUGGACUAUCCGCCAAUAUGCUGGCUUCAGUACAGUGGAGGAGAGCAAUAAGUUCUACAAGGACAACAUUAAAGCUGGCCAGCAGGGAUUAUCUGUUGCUUUUGAUUUAGCCACCCACCGUGGUUAUGAUUCAGACAAUCCACGAGUUCGAGGAGAUGUUGGAAUGGCUGGAGUUCCAAUUGAUACAGUGGAAGACACCAAAAUCCUUUUUGAUGGAAUCCCUUUGGAGAAAAUGUCUGUUUCCAUGACAAUGAAUGGGGCAGUCAUCCCCAUAUUGGCAACAUUCAUUGUAACUGGAGAAGAACAGGGAGUGCCUCAGGCCAAGCUGACAGGGACAAUCCAAAAUGACAUCUUGAAGGAGUUCAUGGUCCGAAAUACGUACAUUUUCCCCCCAGAGCCAUCUAUGCGGAUUAUUGCUGACAUCUUCCAGUACACCUCAAAGCAUAUGCCUAAGUUUAAUUCCAUUUCAAUCAGUGGAUACCACAUGCAAGAGGCAGGAGCUGACACCAUUCUGGAGUUAGCUUACACUAUAGCAGAUGGCUUGGAGUACUGCAGAACUGGACUUAAAGCUGGCCUUACCAUUGAUGAAUUUGCACCAAGGCUCUCCUUCUUCUGGGGAAUUGGCAUGAACUUCUAUAUGGAAAUAGCUAAGAUGAGAGCUGGGAGGCGACUAUGGGCUUACUUGAUAGAGAAAAUGUUUAAGCCCAAGGAUCCCAAAUCUCUUCUGCUGAGAGCUCAUUGUCAAACUUCAGGCUGGUCACUCACUGAGCAGGAUCCCUUUAACAAUGUCAUUCGUACUACAAUUGAAGCGAUGGCUGCAGUCUUUGGAGGUACACAGUCUUUGCAUACCAAUUCCUAUGAUGAAGCCUUGGGUUUGCCUACAGUGAAGAGUGCUCGCAUUGCUCGGAACACACAGAUCAUCAUUCAAGAGGAGUCGGGUAUUCCAAAAGUGGCAGACCCCUGGGGGGGUUCUUACCUCAUGGAGUGCCUCACCGAUGAUGUCUAUCAAGCUGCUUUAAAGCUUGUUGAGGAGAUUGAAGAAAUGGGUGGAAUGGCCAAAGCUGUUGCUGAGGGAAUUCCCAAACUUCGUAUUGAAGAAUGUGCAGCUCGAAGACAAGCCAGGAUUGACUCCGGGUCUGAAGUAAUUGUUGGAGUAAACAAGCAUCAGCUAGAAAAAGAGGAGACAGUCGAAGUUCUGGCUAUUGAUAAUACUUCAGUCCGUAGCAAGCAGAUCGAGAAGAUUAAUAAGGUGAAGGCCAGUAGAGAUCAAGCAGCAGCCCAGCAAUGUCUCGAUGCUCUAACACAAUGUGCUGCUACUGGAGAAGGCAACUUACUCGCACUUGCAGUGGAAGCAGCACGUUCAAGGUGCACCGUUGGAGAAAUAACAGAUGCAAUGAAGAAGGUGUUUGGGGAGCACAAAGCCAGUGACCGAAUGGUGAGUGGAGCUUAUCGCCAGGAGUUUGGAGAGAGUGAUGAAAUUCUUCAUGCCAUCAAUAGAGUUAACAACUUCAUGGAUCGUGAGGGGCGAAGGCCUCGUAUACUUGUUGCAAAGAUGGGUCAAGAUGGCCAUGAUAGAGGAGCUAAAGUUAUUGCAACAGGAUUUGCAGACAUUGGCUUUGAUGUGGACAUAGGUCCCCUCUUCCAGACACCUCGAGAAGUGGCCCAGCAGGCAGUUGAUGCAGAUGUGCACUGUGUUGGUGUGAGCACACUAGCAGCAGGUCAUAAAACUCUGGUGCCUGAACUCAUCAAAGAACUCAACGCCCUGGGCCGGCCAGACAUUCUCGUCAUGUGUGGAGGUGUCAUCCCACCUCAGGAUUACGACUUCCUGUACGAUGCUGGUGUCGCCCACGUGUUUGGUCCAGGGACUCGUAUUCCAAAAGCCGCUGUCCAAGUAUUAGAUGACAUUGAGAAGUGCCUGGAGAAGAGGCAGCAGUCCAUGUGAUACUGACGUCUCCCACAGUACCACCUGCCUUACGCUCAUCACUUACAGAAUGGUCAGUGUAGACAUAGAAGUCUUCAGGCAAAAUCACUGAAGUUCAGCAGAGAUGUGAUUAAAUUCAGCCCCAUUAUACUUUAUUAAAAGAUUUCUCUGCUCUGUGGCAGCAUAUGUUUUGGAAAUAUGCAAAGGAAUACAGAUAGGACAAACGGCUGGAGAUGUGGAGAUCCUAAUUUACAUGUAGGAAUUAACAUACUGCGGCGUGUUGUCUUUCCUGAAAGGACCUUUGAUAAAGUAAGAACUUGAGCAUGGCCUCAAAUCUCAGGGCAGUGCCCUAACAAUGAACCAAAUGUUCCACUUGAUUUUCAGCUGUAAAAUAAUUACCUGGGCAUGGUAGAUGGAUCCUACAGUGGUCAAAUUUCUCUGAGGAAGUGACAAUCUGUCUUUGAUUCUCAGUGUUUCCCAGCCUUCAGAACUGGUGGUUUUUACACUUGUAUUAAACUGUUGCUUCAAUCAGUUACAAUGAUGAGCAGCAAGAGUUGGAAGGGCCCUCUAGAGAUCAUCCAGCCCAACCCCCUGCUAAAGCAGGACAUAGCAGAUACACACCAGCUUGUUUUUAAACAGAACUGUUUCAUCAGAAGAAUUCUGUUUUGGCCUGGGAGGUGCUGAGUUCUGUCUGUUUCUCAGUCUGUCCUCUCUUCUUUAGUUCCAGCCUCACAAAUGGCAUUUUUCACAUCCUUUGUAUAGACAACAGAAUCAUAGAACGGUUGGGGUUGGAAGGGACCUCUAGAGCUUAUCCAGCCCAAGCCCCUGCUAAAGCAGGUUCCCCUUGGAUCAAGGGGCACAAGAACGUGUCCAGGCGGGUUUGGAAACCUCCUGAGAAAGAGACCGUCCCUAGGCACCCCUCCAUGAUGCACAAACACCUAGACCUUGAUUUUUAAAAACAAAGUACAUAAACAGGUAAUGAAUCAAAGCAUUGUACUUAAACGUUAACAAUAUACAGAUCUUUUGGUUUUACAGAGAUUUUGUCUCUAUUGUAGUGUGGCAUAUUUUCAUAUUGCAUGCACUUCAAAGGCAUUUACGAGUGGAUGUUCCGCUCAUACAUUUUUCACAGAGGAAGCUCACAUUACAUUACAUUAUUAAUGUGCAUCUUAUUGAUCCCAAACCUGCAAUUAGGAGAGGGGAAUAUAUAUAUAUCUAUCUAUCGCUGUUUAUUUUCAUCAUCAAGCAACUGAGCAAGUGAAAGCAAAAAUUCUGACGUGGUUCUUAAAAUACAGUUUAAUUUUCCUAACAGGUUAUUUUUUAAAGCUGAUAAAGUGCUGACUUGACAUAUACCCUAACAAUUCCCUUUGCAGUACUUCAAAAUCUGUACCUGCUGACAUGCUGCUCUGACCCCUCUUCUGUUCUACACUGUGUCCCUUUUGCACUUCUCUCUGCAACCUCCUCUCCUCUCUACAAAAACGCUUGAAUAACCCUCUCCUUCCUCUUCUCUCCCCAUCUAUUUUCCUUCAGCUUUCAGAUGCCUUUCUCUCAGGUACUGAUGUUUUCUCCUGCUCAACACAUUCCUCUUCCCUUUUCCCAUUUUCCUGUGCCAUGGCCUGGUGGAAGUGACUCUUUCCCAGAGGAUGCUUCACCUUUUCCUAUUUGGGAGAGAAAUGCAGUCUCAUUCCCUGUGGAGCAUCUGUGGGUGACAGACAACCCAGGACAAGAAAAUAUCACCCCAGAGGCCAACUUAAUUUAGAAUUUUUUCACUGUUUACAAAUAAACUUAGCUUAAUCUAGUGGAAUACUUCUGAGAGUUGGUUACAGUACCAGUGGCAGGAGUCCAGGGAAAGGCAAGCUUCCUAAAGUUUCCUAAUCUCCAGUUUAGUAGUUUGGGCCUUAGCAUAUGUUAUAGCUCUUGUCUCAUUUUGUUUGUUCUUUUGCAAACCAUACUCCACAGGAACAGGAAUUCUCACAGCCACAAAAGUGUUUCAGCCUAUCUUUUAGUCCCUUUUCUUGGCUUUAUCUGUAGUUUAUAAAAUGAAACUAAUUAAUUGUGUUUGAGUAUGGCAGAAGUUUUCAAGAACUCUAAGUCCAUUCAUAGAAUCAUAGAAUGGUUUGAGUUAGUUGGGACCUUAAAGGUCAUCUGGUUCCAAGCCCCCUGCCAUGGACAGGAACAUUUUCCUCUAGACCAGGUUGUUCAAAGCCCCAUCCAACCUAGCCUUGAGCACUUCCAGGGAUGGGGCAGCAAUAACUUUUCACCACCCUCACAGGGAAGAACUUCUUAAUACCUCAUCUAAAUCUCCCAUCUUUCACACUGAGGCCACUCCUUGUCCUAUCACUACACGCCCUUGUAAAAAGUGCUUCUCUAGCUUUUUAUUCACUUUCAACAAUUCACUAUUGUUUUAGAUUGCUGUUUAAAAUAUGUGCCAAAUCUGCCUUUGAUUUAAUUCUUGUCUUCACUGAACCAAAUGCAAAGGUAGAUGUGGGCAGCUGAGCAAACAGGGGAAACCAGAACUGCUGCAGCUAUGAGGCUAUAAUUUGCACAUUUGGGACCAUGAAGAGAUGUAUAUAUGUGUUUAAAAUCACAAACAGUGAGUCAGAGAGAGACAGAUUUGAACUGUAGGAGCUCAUAAUGUACACCUCAGAAUCUCUUUUGUUAAAACUUCCUGGCAGAGUGACUUUGAAGUUGUGUGUAUGCUUUAACCUGAAUCUGCAAACUCUGUUCUCAGCUGCAGUAGUGUCAGUGCUUCCAGUGGGGAACUCUGCCUCUCAGGAGCUCCCACUGAGCAGCAGGAUUGCUUACUGCCAGGCAGGUUAUCCCAGGGAUGUCUUCUGCCAUCUACACAGAGUACUCCUUCAGAAAAAAAAAGUUGUGAUACGUCAGCAAGCAACAGGCUCAUUUUGCUAAGAGAUCCUUUCACUUCUCAUCAUGCUAUCUGUCAUAUGCAGGAGGCAUAUUUCACUGCCAAACUGCUUCAGACUGAGGCUGCUUGACUCCUUUACAAGUGUGUGUUUUGAGUUGGAGCUAUGCUUCUAACAGAAGAAUGAACUGUGGCUCUCCACAUUUUGAUAACAGCCACUUUAUCAUCUUUUCCUGGCAGUGAAUGUUUCUUGCUAUGCGUAUGGUUUUCUAUCUGUACUGUUGGAAAGCUACACGCUCAGCUGUAUUUAUUUGAUAACAUUUUGUCUUCAGCCUACGGGUUAGAGCCAAGAGUCUGCAGGUAGAUUGCAUUAAGAAGUCAAAAAAAAAAAAAAAACCCCAACCAGAAAACCACCACACCCUCCUCUUUUAAUUAUAGCUGAUGCCCUGAAAAUAAGUUUCAUUUACAUGUUUUUAUGUUUAGUAUAUAAAUAUAUUUCUUCUGAAGUGGAAAAAUUUGGGGGGAAAAAAAAGCUUUUCUUUUUCUUCUUGUGUAGCUUAAAGAAAAUAUU